AUGAACGCUAGCUACAGGCUUAACACAUGCAAGUCGAGGGGCAGCAUUUUAGUUUGCUUGCAAACUGAAGAUGGCGACCGGCGCACGGGUGAGUAACACGUAUCCAACCUGCCGAUAACUCCGGGAUAGCCUUUCGAAAGAAAGAUUAAUACCGGAUAGUAUACGAAUAUCGCAUGAUAUUUUUAUUAAAGAAUUUCGGUUAUCGAUGGGGAUGCGUUCCAUUAGUUUGUUGGCGGGGUAACGGCCCACCAAGACUACGAUGGAUAGGGGUUCUGAGAGGAAGGUCCCCCACAUUGGAACUGAGACACGGUCCAAACUCCUACGGGAGGCAGCAGUGAGGAAUAUUGGUCAAUGGGCGCGAGCCUGAACCAGCCAAGUAGCGUGAAGGAUGAAGGCUCUAUGGGUCGUAAACUUCUUUUAUAUGGGAAUAAAGUUUUCCACGUGUGGAAUUUUGUAUGUACCAUAUGAAUAAGGAUCGGCUAACUCCGUGCCAGCAGCCGCGGUAAUACGGAGGAUCCGAGCGUUAUCCGGAUUUAUUGGGUUUAAAGGGAGCGUAGGUGGAUUGUUAAGUCAGUUGUGAAAGUUUGCGGCUCAACCGUAAAAUUGCAGUUGAAACUGGCAGUCUUGAGUACAGUAGAGGUGGGCGGAAUUCGUGGUGUAGCGGUGAAAUGCUUAGAUAUCACGAAGAACUCCGAUUGCGAAGGCAGCUCACUAGACUGUCACUGACACUGAUGCUCGAAAGUGUGGGUAUCAAACAGGAUUAGAUACCCUGGUAGUCCACACAGUAAACGAUGAAUACUCGCUGUUUGCGAUAUACAGUAAGCGGCCAAGCGAAAGCAUUAAGUAUUCCACCUGGGGAGUACGCCGGCAACGGUGAAACUCAAAGGAAUUGACGGGGGCCCGCACAAGCGGAGGAACAUGUGGUUUAAUUCGAUGAUACGCGAGGAACCUUACCCGGGCUUAAAUUGCAACAGAAUAUAUUGGAAACAGUAUAGCCGUAAGGCUGUUGUGAAGGUGCUGCAUGGUUGUCGUCAGCUCGUGCCGUGAGGUGUCGGCUUAAGUGCCAUAACGAGCGCAACCCUUAUCUUUAGUUACUAACAGGUGAUGCUGAGGACUCUAGAGAGACUGCCGUCGUAAGAUGUGAGGAAGGUGGGGAUGACGUCAAAUCAGCACGGCCCUUACGUCCGGGGCUACACACGUGUUACAAUGGGGGGUACAGAAGGCGGCUACCUGGUGACAGGAUGCUAAUCCCAAAAACCUCUCUCAGUUCGGAUCGAAGUCUGCAACCCGACUUCGUAAAGCUGGAUUCGCUAGUAAUCGCGCAUCAGCCAUGGCGCGGUGAAUACGUUCCCGGGCCUUGUACACACCGCCCGUCAAGCCAUGAAAGCCGGGGGUACCUGAAGUACGUAACCGCAAGGAGCGUCCUAGGGUAAAACUGGUAAUUGGGGCUAAGUC
RNAcentral lists this ribosomal RNA (1455 nucleotides) under uncultured organism. RNAcentral's name for it is "SSU rRNA". It matches the Rfam family "Bacterial small subunit ribosomal RNA". The record is from RNAcentral.